UAGUCAUAUGCUUGUCUCAAAGAUUAAGCCAUGCAUGUCUAAGUAUAAACAACUCAGUACUUGUGAAACUGCGAAUGGCUCAUUAAAUCAGUUAUAGUUUAUUUGAUGUUACCUUUUUUACUACUUGGAUAACCGUAGUAACAUAGAGCUAAUACAUGCAAACACUCUUGACCGCAAGGAAGAGAGGCACUUAUUAGAUUACAAACCAAUCCGUGUAACAGCGGUAUAAGGUGAUUCAUAGUAAGGUUGGAAAUCGUAUGGGGGUAACUCUGACGAUGUAUCAUUCAAAUUUCUGCCCUAUCAACUUUGGAUGGUAGUAUAGAGGACUACCAUGGUGAUAACGGGUAACGGAGAAUUAGGGUUCGAUUCCGGAGGGGGAGCCUGAGAAAUGGCUACCACUUCUAAGGAGGGCAGCAGGCGCGCAAAUUACCCAAUCCUAAUACGGGGAGGUAGUGACAAUAAAUAACAAUGCAGGGUCUAUUGAUCUUGUAAUUGGAAUGAGUACAAUUUAAACCCCUUAACGAGUAACAAUC
RNAcentral lists this ribosomal RNA (533 nucleotides) under uncultured eukaryote. RNAcentral's name for it is "bacterial SSU rRNA". It matches the Rfam family "Eukaryotic small subunit ribosomal RNA", at positions 21 to 549 of the family's 1831-position model. The record is from RNAcentral.